GACGAACGCUGGCGGCGUGCUUAACACAUGCAAGUCGAACGAUGAAGCCGGAGCUUGCUCUGGUGAAUUAGUGGCGAACGGGUGAGUAACACGUGAGUAACCUGCCCUUGACUCUGGGAUAACUGCGGGAAACUGUAGCUAAUACCGGAUACGACCCUCGGAGGCAUCUCCAGGGGGUGGAAAGAAUUUCGGUCAAGGAUGGACUCGCGGCCUAUCAGCUAGUUGGUGAGGUAAAGGCUCACCAAGGCGACGACGGGUAGCCGGCCUGAGAGGGUGAACGGCCACACUGGGACUGAGGAACGGCCCAGGCUCCGACGGGAGGCAGCAGUGGGGAAUAUUGCACAAUGGGCGCAAGCCUGAUGCGGCAACGCCGCGUGCGGGAUGACGGCCUUCGGGUUGUAAGCCUCUUUUAGCAGGGAAGAAGCGAAAGUGACGGUACCUGCAGAAAAAGCACCGGCUAACUACGUGCCAGCCGCCGCCGUAA
RNAcentral lists this ribosomal RNA (484 nucleotides) under uncultured bacterium. RNAcentral's name for it is "partial 16S ribosomal RNA". It matches the Rfam family "Bacterial small subunit ribosomal RNA", at positions 28 to 523 of the family's 1533-position model. The record is from RNAcentral.